RNAcentral lists this ribosomal RNA (825 nucleotides) under uncultured Rhodocyclus sp. RNAcentral's name for it is "SSU rRNA". It matches the Rfam family "Bacterial small subunit ribosomal RNA", at positions 575 to 1398 of the family's 1533-position model. The record is from RNAcentral. Lineage: Bacteria; Pseudomonadati; Pseudomonadota; Betaproteobacteria; Rhodocyclales; Rhodocyclaceae.
GCGGUUUCGUAAGACAGACGUGAAAUCCCCGGGCUCAACCUGGGAACUGCGUUUGUGACUGCGAGGCUAGAGUUUGGCAGAGGGGGGUGGAAUUCCACGUGUAGCAGUGAAAUGCGUAGAGAUGUGGAGGAACACCGAUGGCGAAGGCAGCCCCCUGGGCCAAUACUGACGCUCAUGCACGAAAGCGUGUGGAGCAAACAGGAUUAGAUACCCUGGUAGUCCACGCCCUAAACGAUGUCAACUAGGUGUUGGGAGGGUUAAACCUCUUAGUGCCGUAGCUAACGCGUGAAGUUGACCGCCUGGGGAGUACGGCCGCAAGGCUAAAACUCAAAGGAAUUGACGGGGACCCGCACAAGCGGUGGAUGAUGUGGAUUAAUUCGAUGCAACGCGAAAAACCUUACCUACCCUUGACAUGUCAGGAAUCCCGGAGAGAUUUGGGAGUGCCCGAAAGGGAGCCUGAACACAGGUGCUGCAUGGCUGUCGUCAGCUCGUGUCGUGAGAUGUUGGGUUAAGUCCCGCAACGAGCGCAACCCUUGUCGUUAAUUGCCAUCAUUCAGUUGGGCACUUUAAUGAGACUGCCGGUGACAAACCGGAGGAAGGUGGGGAUGACGUCAAGUCCUCAUGGCCCUUAUGGGUAGGGCUUCACACGUCAUACAAUGGUCGGUCCAGAGGGUUGCCAACCCGCGAGGGGGAGCUAAUCUCAGAAAGCCGAUCGUAGUCCGGAUUGCAGUCUGCAACUCGACUGCAUGAAGUCGGAAUCGCUAGUAACCGCGGAUCAGCAUGUCGCGGUGAAUACGUUCCCGGGUCUUGCACUCACCGCCCGUC